RNAcentral lists this ribosomal RNA (199 nucleotides) under uncultured fungus. RNAcentral describes it as "5.8S ribosomal RNA". The stretch from base 1 to 154 matches the Rfam family "5.8S ribosomal RNA". From Rfam's summary of the family: 5.8S ribosomal RNA (5.8S rRNA) is a component of the large subunit of the eukaryotic ribosome. It is transcribed by RNA polymerase I as part of the 45S precursor that also contains 18S and 28S rRNA. Functionally, it is thought that 5.8S rRNA may be involved in ribosome translocation. Lineage: Eukaryota; Fungi. The record is from RNAcentral.
AACUUUCAGCAACGGAUCUCUUGGCUCUCGCAUCGAUGAAGAACGCAGCGAAAUGCGAUAAGUAAUGUGAAUUGCAGAAUUCAGUGAAUCAUCGAAUCUUUGAACGCACCUUGCGCUCCUUGGUAUUCCUUGGAGCAUGCCUGUUUGAGAGUCUUGAAUAUCUCUGCUCUUACUUUUUUUAAUUAAGGAAUAACGAGUC